Long non-coding RNA from Cucurbita maxima (winter squash), 95 nucleotides. RefSeq lists it as uncharacterized. The record is from RefSeq and is a predicted model, not a curated record. Lineage: Eukaryota; Viridiplantae; Streptophyta; Magnoliopsida; Cucurbitales; Cucurbitaceae. The transcript has 3 exons.
AAAUUUUGAGAGAAGGAGAAGGUCUGAAAUCUUGAUAUGUUCAACUAGAGAGAAUUCUCCACAUGAUUCGUAAAGAAACCUAGCCGAAAUUUGGG